This 301-nucleotide ribosomal RNA is filed under the name uncultured bacterium. Its description in RNAcentral is "partial 16S ribosomal RNA". It matches the Rfam family "Bacterial small subunit ribosomal RNA", at positions 509 to 807 of the family's 1533-position model. The record is from RNAcentral.
CAGCAGCCGCGGUAAUACGAAGGGUGCAAGCGUUAAUCGGAAUUACUGGGCGUAAAGCGUGCGUAGGCGGUUUGUUAAGUCUGUUGUGAAAUCCCCGGGCUCAACCUGGGAAUGGCAAUGGAUACUGGCAAGCUAGAGUGUGUCAGAGGAUGGUGGAAUUCCCGGUGUAGCGGUGAAAUGCGUAGAGAUCGGAAGGAACAUCAGUGGCGAAGGCGGCCAUCUGGGACAACACUGACGCUGAGGCACGAAAGCGUGGGGAGCAAACAGGAUUAGAUACCCGCGUAGUCCCUGUCUCUUAUAC